Molecule: ribosomal RNA, 237 nt
Filed under: uncultured bacterium
Lineage: Bacteria
Description: partial 16S ribosomal RNA
Rfam family: Bacterial small subunit ribosomal RNA
Source: RNAcentral
CGAACGGGUGAGUAACGCGUGAGGAACCUGCCCCAAAGAGGGGGACAACAGUUGGAAACGACUGCUAAUACCGCAUAAGCCCACGGCUCGGCAUCGAGCAGAGGGAAAAGGAGCAAUCCGCUUUGAGAUGGCCUCGCGUCCGAUUAGCUAGUUGGUGAGGUAAUGGCCCACCAAGGCGACGAUCGGUAGCCGGACUGAGAGGUUGAACGGCCACAUUGGGACUGAGACACGGCCCAA